Molecule: non-coding RNA, 512 nt
Organism: Macaca mulatta (Rhesus monkey)
Lineage: Eukaryota; Metazoa; Chordata; Mammalia; Primates; Cercopithecidae
Source: RefSeq, a predicted model, not a curated record
UCCUCUCCUCCUCAUCUUCUCUUUCUUUUUCUUAUUUUCAGUAAUACACUCUUCUCUCAGGCAGCCCAUGUGCCUCAGGGACAGAAGCUCCUCCCUACUCCAAUGGAGGGCCUGAUUGGUGCAGGGGCAUCUCAACUCUCCUGCUACUGGUUGCUUCAGGAGCCAGACCUAAUCCAAUCAUUGCAGAUGCCAGAAACAUGUUAAUGACCAUGCCACAUUCUAACUCCAAGAGCUCUGGUCUGAUGGGAACACAGGAGAACAUAGAGAUACAAGUCACACUAGGAGCACAACACAACUGCCACACCGCCUGUCAUCACAUCUACAUUCCAGAAGGGGAGAAGGAGGAAGCCAGGAGGAGGAAGGGCAUUGCCUACGUGAGAAAAAAGAAAGAAAAAGCUUUUUCAAAAAUCCUUAAGAGAUGUCCUAUUAUUUCUCUUUAGCCAUAUUUGUUACAUGAUCACCCUUAGUAGCAAGGGAAGUUGGGAAAUGUCGCUUUUUUGCUGGGCACAUGG